GACGAACGCUGGCGGCGUGCUUAACACAUGCAAGUCGAACGGAAAGGCCCUGCUUUUGUGGGGUGCUCGAGUGGCGAACGGGUGAGUAACACGUGAGUAACCUGCCCUUGACUUUGGGAUAACUUCAGGAAACUGGGGCUAAUACCGGAUAGGAGCUCCUGCUGCAUGGUGGGGGUUGGAAAGUUUCGGCGGUUGGGGAUGGACUCGCGGCUUAUCAGCUUGUUGGUGGGGUAGUGGCUUACCAAGGCUUUGACGGGUAGCCGGCCUGAGAGGGUGACCGGCCACAUGGGGACUGAGAUACGGCCCAGACUCCAACGGGAGGCAGCAGUGGGGAAUAUUGCACAAUGGGCGGAAGCCUGAUGCGACAACGCCGCGUGCGGGAUGACGGCCUUCGGGUUGUAAACCGCUUUCGCCUGUGACGAAGCGUGAGUGACGGUAAUGGGUAAAGAAGCACCGGCUAACUACGUG
RNAcentral lists this ribosomal RNA (468 nucleotides) under uncultured bacterium. Its description in RNAcentral is "partial 16S ribosomal RNA". It matches the Rfam family "Bacterial small subunit ribosomal RNA", at positions 28 to 507 of the family's 1533-position model. The record is from RNAcentral.